Molecule: ribosomal RNA, 2900 nt
Filed under: Klebsiella pneumoniae
Lineage: Bacteria; Pseudomonadati; Pseudomonadota; Gammaproteobacteria; Enterobacterales; Enterobacteriaceae
Description: bacterial LSU rRNA
Rfam family: Bacterial large subunit ribosomal RNA
Source: RNAcentral
UUAAGCGACUAAGCGUACACGGUGGAUGCCCUGGCAGUCAGAGGCGAUGAAGGACGUGCUAAUCUGCGAAAAGCGUCGGUAAGGUGAUAUGAACCGUUACAGCCGGCGAUGUCCGAAUGGGGAAACCCAGUGCAAUUCGUUGCACUAUCGUUAACUGAAUACAUAGGUUAACGAGGCGAACCGGGGGAACUGAAACAUCUAAGUACCCCGAGGAAAAGAAAUCAACCGAGAUUCCCCCAGUAGCGGCGAGCGAACGGGGAGCAGCCCAGAGUCUGAAUCAGCUUGUGUGUUAGUGGAACGGUCUGGAAAGUCCGACGGUACAGGGUGAUAGUCCCGUACACCAAAAUGCACAGGUUGUGAACUCGAAGAGUAGGGCGGGACACGUGGUAUCCUGUCUGAAUAUGGGGGGACCAUCCUCCAAGGCUAAAUACUCCUGACUGACCGAUAGUGAACCAGUACCGUGAGGGAAAGGCGAAAAGAACCCCGGCGAGGGGAGUGAAAAAGAACCUGAAACCGUGUACGUACAAGCAGUGGGAGCACCUUCGGGUGUGACUGCGUACCUUUUGUAUAAUGGGUCAGCGACUUAUAUUCUGUAGCAAGGUUAACCGUAUAGGGGAGCCGCAGGGAAACCGAGUCUUAACUGGGCGUUAAGUUGCAGGGUAUAGACCCGAAACCCGGUGAUCUAGCCAUGGGCAGGUUGAAGGUUGGGUAACACUAACUGGAGGACCGAACCGACUAAUGUUGAAAAAUUAGCGGAUGACUUGUGGCUGGGGGUGAAAGGCCAAUCAAACCGGGAGAUAGCUGGUUCUCCCCGAAAGCUAUUUAGGUAGCGCCUCGUGAAUUCAUCUUCGGGGGUAGAGCACUGUUUCGGCUAGGGGGUCAUCCCGACUUACCAACCCGAUGCAAACUACGAAUACCGAAGAAUGUUAUCACGGGAGACACACGGCGGGUGCUAACGUCCGUCGUGAAGAGGGAAACAACCCAGACCGCCAGCUAAGGUCCCAAAGUCAUGGUUAAGUGGGAAACGAUGUGGGAAGGCACAGACAGCCAGGAUGUUGGCUUAGAAGCAGCCAUCAUUUAAAGAAAGCGUAAUAGCUCACUGGUCGAGUCGGCCUGCGCGGAAGAUGUAACGGGGCUAAACCAUGCACCGAAGCUGCGGCAGCGACACUAUGUGUUGUUGGGUAGGGGAGCGUUCUGUAAGCCUGCGAAGGUGUGCUGUGAGGCAUGCUGGAGGUAUCAGAAGUGCGAAUGCUGACAUAAGUAACGAUAAAGCGGGUGAAAAGCCCGCUCGCCGGAAGACCAAGGGUUCCUGUCCAACGUUAAUCGGGGCAGGGUGAGUCGACCCCUAAGGCGAGGCCGAAAGGCGUAGUCGAUGGGAAACAGGUUAAUAUUCCUGUACUUGGUGUUACUGCGAAGGGGGGACGGAGAAGGCUAUGUUAGCCGGGCGACGGUUGUCCCGGUUUAAGCAUGUAGGCUGGUUAUCCAGGCAAAUCCGGAUAAUCAAGGCUGAGGUGUGAUGACGAGGCACUACGGUGCUGAAGUAACAAAUGCCCUGCUUCCAGGAAAAGCCUCUAAGCAUCAGGUAACAUCAAAUCGUACCCCAAACCGACACAGGUGGUCAGGUAGAGAAUACCAAGGCGCUUGAGAGAACUCGGGUGAAGGAACUAGGCAAAAUGGUGCCGUAACUUCGGGAGAAGGCACGCUGGUGUGUAGGUGAAGUCCCUGCGGAUGGAGCUGAGACCAGUCGAAGAUACCAGCUGGCUGCAACUGUUUAUUAAAAACACAGCACUGUGCAAACACGAAAGUGGACGUAUACGGUGUGACGCCUGCCCGGUGCCGGAAGGUUAAUUGAUGGGGUUAUCCGUAAGGAGAAGCUCUUGAUCGAAGCCCCGGUAAACGGCGGCCGUAACUAUAACGGUCCUAAGGUAGCGAAAUUCCUUGUCGGGUAAGUUCCGACCUGCACGAAUGGCGUAAUGAUGGCCAGGCUGUCUCCACCCGAGACUCAGUGAAAUUGAACUCGCUGUGAAGAUGCAGUGUACCCGCGGCAAGACGGAAAGACCCCGUGAACCUUUACUAUAGCUUGACACUGAACAUUGAGCCUUGAUGUGUAGGAUAGGUGGGAGGCUUUGAAGCGUGGACGCCAGUCUGCGUGGAGCCAACCUUGAAAUACCACCCUUUAAUGUUUGAUGUUCUAACGUUGGCCCCUUAUCGGGGUUGCGGACAGUGUCUGGUGGGUAGUUUGACUGGGGCGGUCUCCUCCCAAAGCGUAACGGAGGAGCACGAAGGUUAGCUAAUCCUGGUCGGACAUCAGGAGGUUAGUGCAAUGGCAUAAGCUAGCUUGACUGCGAGCGUGACGGCGCGAGCAGGUGCGAAAGCAGGUCAUAGUGAUCCGGUGGUUCUGAAUGGAAGGGCCAUCGCUCAACGGAUAAAAGGUACUCCGGGGAUAACAGGCUGAUACCGCCCAAGAGUUCAUAUCGACGGCGGUGUUUGGCACCUCGAUGUCGGCUCAUCACAUCCUGGGGCUGAAGUAGGUCCCAAGGGUAUGGCUGUUCGCCAUUUAAAGUGGUACGCGAGCUGGGUUUAGAACGUCGUGAGACAGUUCGGUCCCUAUCUGCCGUGGGCGCUGGAGAAUUGAGGGGGGCUGCUCCUAGUACGAGAGGACCGGAGUGGACGCAUCACUGGUGUUCGGGUUGUCAUGCCAAUGGCACUGCCCGGUAGCUAAAUGCGGAAGAGAUAAGUGCUGAAAGCAUCUAAGCACGAAACUUGCCCCGAGAUGAGUUCUCCCUGAGACUUUAAGUCUCCUGAAGGAACGUUGAAGACGACGACGUUGAUAGGCCGGGUGUGUAAGCGCAGCGAUGCGUUGAGCUAACCGGUACUAAUGAACCGUGAGGCUUAACCUU